Molecule: long non-coding RNA, 724 nt
Organism: Chelonia mydas (Green sea turtle)
Lineage: Eukaryota; Metazoa; Chordata; Testudines; Cheloniidae
Exons: 2
Source: RefSeq, a predicted model, not a curated record
UGUUCUCAGUGGUAGCAGAUGACAGGACAUUCCGUCUGCAGGCAGUGGUCAUCCAACUUUGGAAAACACCUGAUGAAGAGGCGAGCAUUCCUGACUACAAAAGUGCAAGAGGCCAUGUGGCCUAGGAGUUGUAGGCAAUCUCGUGCAGUCACCUGUGGACUGUUGUACAGCUUGGCAACCAAAAGGUUGAUGAUGUUGAGCAGGUGGAGUGGGAGAGAUGCUAUUCUUUUGCAUGAGUCGAAAUGUGCUCCUAUGAACUCCUGUUGUGGGAUGGGAGUGAGUGUAGAUUUUCUUUGUUCAUUCGCAGGCCAAGAGCAUGGAAACAUUGGACUGUCCGUUCUGUGGACUGAACGGCUUCUUGGAGGGUCCUGGCUUUGAAAAGAUAGUUGUCGAGGGGUUUGGAUACAGAGAUCGUAAUGUCGCUCUCGAGUCCUUCAUGGAGUGAAGCACAUCACUGGUGUUACUGGCAAAUAGUUUUCCACCAUCAAAAGGGAGAUCUUUUUUGGUAUUCUGAACUGCGCGAAGAAAAGACAAUGACGAAAGCCAUGAAGCUCGAUGCAUCAUAACUGUUGUAGCAGUGGAUCUUGUAGCUGUAUUAGCAACAUCAAGCGCAGCUUGUAGUGCGGUACUGGAGAAGAAGAUUUGUCCCUCAGAGACUAUGGCUUUAAACUGAUUUUUUUUUGCUCUCUGGAAUGUCAUCAAUAAAGUCCAUGAGUUUCUCAUA